Molecule: long non-coding RNA, 158 nt
Organism: Solanum verrucosum
Lineage: Eukaryota; Viridiplantae; Streptophyta; Magnoliopsida; Solanales; Solanaceae
Exons: 2
Source: RefSeq, a predicted model, not a curated record
UUUGAGUCACCAAGGGAGCAAAGUGGGAAAAAGGUCACAUCUGACUCUAGGGAGAGGGGCUUGCGGUUUACUACAUCAAUAAAAGAUAUUCAUGUGAGUUGUGACUCUGCUCUUAUGCAAAAAGAUGAAAUGUGUCUCCAAGAAAAGGAUAUGAUACA